AGCCCUGGGACAUCCACGGUAGUGGCCGC
RNAcentral lists this small RNA (29 nucleotides) under Bombyx mori (domestic silkworm). RNAcentral's name for it is "ovarian small RNA-12082". Lineage: Eukaryota; Metazoa; Arthropoda; Insecta; Lepidoptera; Bombycidae. The record is from RNAcentral.